GUCUAACAUGUUAAUACGUACACCGUCUCAUACAUUUAUCUUAGCACUGCAUAUAUGAAAAUAAAAUUUGAUUUUUUAUUAUCAGCAAAGAAUUCAUAAAAUUAAAAUGGGACACUUCAGGGUGUCCCAUCCCCGUAUACAUCAAAUUUGAUUCUUGAAUACCAGAUAGCACAUUCGAGGCUCACAAAACCUGCUGAACAAUGCAUGAACAUAUCCUAAAAAGCUACUAUGAGAAAAAGCGCACUUUCCAACAAAGUGCCAUUUAGCUAGACAAAUGACCAUUAUCAAAUAGUAAAGCACAAUUCUGGUGGCCUCAAAACUGGAUGGAAGAGAAAGCAAUUCACCAUAAUCAGUUUCCAAGAUACCAAAAGCAGAAAGUAUUGAUAUUCUGACAGCAACACACCAAACCAGAAUUUUUUGAAAAAGGUUGAUAAAAGCAUCCACUCUUCAAAACCACCUCUUCUAUACUUCACAUUGUACCGAUCCUACCUCCACAACAACCUCCAACUGAUAAGAUAUUCUCAUUUAGACAUGACAAACACAUGAUUUGUGUUUCAAAAUUGCAUCAGCUCCUUCCCAGAACACCAUAGGGGUUUGAAUCAGCACAAAGAAUUUUUCAUCUGAACUAAAACAUGCCCCUAAGACACCCCUAAACCUGCACCCUGUAGUUACUAAACUCGUUCCUGCAAAACUGCUCCUCCAGACACCAAAAAUACUAGCUGCUUGAGGCUUGACCUCUACCACUGGUAUUUGUAGUUCAUACUGAGCUUCACUUUUCCAAAGCAUGACAGAAAGUAAAGUUAACAACCACAAAAUUGCUCCAAUCUUAAAACCUGCAGAGGUACAAAACAUGAUACAACAUCAUGUUUUUCUUAUCAGAUAACAAAGAAAUGGGUUUCAAAAGUUCUAUUCCACCCACUCCUACUUAUCAUCCACUUGGUCCAACAUUUCUUGCCCAAUAACCCAUCAUUUUAGAAUGGCUGCCCACCAAACCAAUGCAACAAAAAAUAUAUGGAUACUCUGAUCCUUGGCUCAAGUUAUUAAGUUAUUAUGUAGCUGAACCCACCCGUGCCUAGUCCCCGAGCCCCGGCAGCCCCCCAAUUGGACUUCAUAUACCUGAUACAACCCCCACUUAACCAUCCAGCUUUACUCCUUAUACCUGUUUUACUUACAAUACAGGUUCAAACCAAAAAACUACCUGCAUAAGCAGUAUAUAAUAUAUACUUGUGUGACUAUAUCUACUUCUCCACCAUGUGGCCAUCCAUCAACCUUACACAAGCUUGUGACGUUAGAUUCUAGAGUUUGAUGCUCAUGACAAUACUCUUUCCAGCUUCCUUCCAACUAACCACUGAGCCUUCACAAACUUUGCCAUUUGAUUUCACAUCCAAUUCGAUAUCAGCAGCAAGAGGCUCAGAGAAACAUUGCAGCACUCCAGAAAAUUGUCCGCCCUCUCUUCCAGAUAAUGCCUUAAUUUGAUAGAAACGUUUACUCAUCUUACAAGUUUUGUUAUUAUCAUAAUUUCAUAGACUUACUUAUACGCAUAAGACUGUUUAAUGGGGUGUUUGACCGUUUAAAAGUCACUACCGUCUAUUAUCUUAACAAUCUCCAUUUUUUGUAUGAUGACAAGAAUCAUGUUUUAAUAACAUCAUAAAAACAUAAAUAAGCAAGUAAGAGAUUUUACACAACAACAAAGCAAAUAAACAUUCUAAAAUGAAAAAUUAUAUGUCAAAAUUGAAAAGAGAAAUACGAAGUUGUAGACUCAGCCCACAUGUAGAAUAUAGAACAUUGAAUGAAUUAUGUCACUCUUUUAGUGGUUUACUGGUCCCUUUUUGUUUUUUUAAAGGAAAA
This 1848-nucleotide long non-coding RNA is filed under the name Phaseolus vulgaris (common bean). RNAcentral describes it as "long non-coding RNA (PVUL_LNC001675)". Lineage: Eukaryota; Viridiplantae; Streptophyta; Magnoliopsida; Fabales; Fabaceae. The record is from RNAcentral.